AGAGUAAGUGGUGGAUGCCUUGGCUAGUAGAGGCGAUGAAAGACGUGCCAGGCUGCGAUAAGUCUCGGGGAGCCGUCAAGGGGCUUUGAUCCGGGAAUUUCUGAAUGGGGCAACCCAGUUAAGCGCGAGCUUAACUACCUAAUAUGGAGCGAACGAGGGGAAUUGAAACAUCUUAGUACCCUCAGGAAAAGAAAUCAAAAGAGAUUACGCUAGUAGCGGCGAGCGAACGCGUAAGAGGGCAAACCGUUAGUUUACUAACGGGGUUGUAGGACUGCGAUAUAGACUAAACUUAGCUAAUAGAAUAAUCUGGAAAGAUUAAGCACAGAGGGUGAUACUCCCGUAUAUGAAAGCUUUGUUUUACUUAGCAGUAUCCUGAGUAGGGCGGAACACGUGAUAUUCUGUCUGAAGCCGGGUCGACCACGAUCCAACCCUAAAUACUACUACUAGACCGAUAGCGCACAAGUACCGUGAGGGAAAGGUGAAAAGAACUGAGGUGAUCAGAGUGAAAUAGAACCUGAAACCAUUUACUUACAAUCAUUCAGAGCACGAUUCUUUAUGACGUGUGAUGGACUGCCUUUUGCAUAAUGAGCCUGCGAGUUGUGGUGUCUGGCGAGGUUAAGGAAACCCGGAGCCGUAGCGAAAGCGAGUCUUAAUAGGGCGUUUAGUCAGAUGCUGCAGACCCGAAACGAUGUGAUCUAUCCAUGAGCAGGUUGAAGCCGGUGUAAGAGCCGGUGGAGGACCCAACCCGCUGGCGUUGAAAAGCCAUGGGAUGACUUGUGGAUAGGGGUGAAAGGUCAAUCAAACAUCGUGAUAGCUGGUUCUCUCCGAAAUAUAUUUAGGUAUAGCGUCAUGUAGUAACACUGGGGGGUAGAGCACUGAAUGGGCUAGGGCAUACACCAAUGUACCAAACCCUAUCAAACUCCGAAUACCUAGUGUGUAAUCAUGGCAGUCAGGCGGCGAGUGAUAAAAUCCGUCGUCGAGAGGGGAACAACCCAGACUAACAGCUAAGGUCCCUAAAUCUCAUUUAAGUGGAAAACGAUGUGGAGUUACUUAAACAACCAGGAGGUUGGCUUAGAAGCAGCCAUCCUUUAAAGAAAGCGUAAUAGCUCACUGGUCUAGUGAUUCUGCGCGGAAAAUAUAACGGGGCUAAAAUGAGUACCGAAGCUUUAGACUUAGUUUUACUAAGUGGUAGGAGAGCGUUGCAUUCAGCGUCGAAGGUGUACCGGUAAGGAGCGCUGGAGCGAAUGCAAGUGAGCAUGCAGGCAUGAGUAGCGAUAAUUGGGGUGAGAAUCCCCAACGCCGUAAACCCAAGGUUUCCUACGCGAUGCUCGUCAUCGUAGGGUUAGCCGGGUCCUAAGCAAAGUCCGAAAGGGGUAUGCGAUGGAAAAUUGGUUAAUAUUCCAAUGCCAACUAUAAUGUGCGAUGGAAGGACGCUUAGAGUUAAGCAAGCUAGCGGAUGGUAGUGCUAGUCGAAAGGUGUAGGUUAAGAUCCAGGCAAAUCCGGAUCUUUUUAAGCCGAGACCCCACAGGCGUUUGAAGUUCUUCGGAAUGGAUAGCGAAUUGCUGAUACUGUCGAGCCAAGAAAAGUUUCUAAGUUUAGUUAUAGUUGCCCGUACCGUAAACCGACACAGGUGGGUGGGAUGAGUAUUCUAAGGCGCGUGGAAGAACUCUCUUCAAGGAACUCUGCAAAAUAGCACCGUAUCUUCGGUAUAAGGUGUGCCUAACUUUGUGAAGGAUUUACUCCGUAAGCAUUGAAGGUUACAACAAAGAGUCCCUCCCGACUGUUUACCAAAAACACAGCACUCUGCUAACUCGUAAGAGGAUGUAUAGGGUGUGACGCCUGCCCGGUGCUCGAAGGUUAAUUGAUGACGUUAGCUCUGCGAAGCGUUUGAUCGAAGCCCGAGUAAACGGCGGCCGUAACUAUAACGGUCCUAAGGUAGCGAAAUUCCUUGUCGAUUAAAUAUCGACCUGCAUGAAUGGCGUAACGAGAUGGGAGCUGUCUCGAAGAGGGAUCCAGUGAAAUUGUAGUGGAGGUGAAAAUUCCUCCUACCCGCGGCAAGACGGAAAGACCCCGUGGACCUUUACUACAGCUUGACACUGCUAUUGGGAUAAAAAUGUGCAGGAUAGGUGGGAGGCUUUGAUCCAUAGACGCCAGUUUAUGGUGAGCCGUUGUUGAGAUACCACUCUUUUUUAUUCUGAUAGCUAACUAGCUUGAGUUAUCCUCAAGUAGGACAAUGUCUGGUGGGUAGUUUGACUGGGGCGGUCGCCUCCCAAAAUGU
Molecule: ribosomal RNA, 2279 nt
Filed under: human oral metagenome
Description: bacterial LSU rRNA
Rfam family: Bacterial large subunit ribosomal RNA
Source: RNAcentral